This 87-nucleotide transfer RNA is filed under the name Citrobacter sp. JGM124. RNAcentral's name for it is "tRNA-Leu". It matches the Rfam family "tRNA". From Rfam's summary of the family: Transfer RNA (tRNA) molecules are approximately 80 nucleotides in length. The record is from RNAcentral. RNAcentral also lists the same sequence under 6 other names. Lineage: Bacteria; Pseudomonadati; Pseudomonadota; Gammaproteobacteria; Enterobacterales; Enterobacteriaceae.
GCCCGGAUGGUGGAAUCGGUAGACACAAGGGAUUUAAAAUCCCUCGGCGUACGCGCUGUGCGAGUUCAAGUCUCGCUCCGGGCACCA